GACGAACGCUGGCGGCGUGCCCAAUACAUGCAAGUAGAACGCUGAAGGAGGAGCUUGCUUCUCCGGAUGAGUUGCGAACGGGUGAGUAACGCGUAGGUAACCUGCCUGGUAGCGGGGGAUAACUAUUGGAAACGAUAGCUAAUACCGCAUAACAGUAGAUGUUGCAUGACAUUUGCUUAAAAGGUGCAAUUGCAUCACUACCAGAUGGACCUGCGUUGUAUUAGCUAGUUGGUGAGGUAACGGCUCACCAAGGCGACGAUACAUAGCCGACCUGAGAGGGUGAUCGGCCACACUGGGACUGAGACACGGCCCAGACUCCUACGGGAGGCAGCAGUAGGGAAUCUUCGGCAAUGGACGGAAGUCUGACCGAGCAACGCCGCGUGAGUGAAGAAGGUUUUCGGAUCGUAAAGCUCUGUUGUAAGAGAAGAACGAGUGUGAGAGUGGAAAGUUCACACUGUGACGGUAUCUUACCAGAAAGGGACGGCUAACUACGUG
Molecule: ribosomal RNA, 495 nt
Filed under: uncultured bacterium
Lineage: Bacteria
Description: partial 16S ribosomal RNA
Rfam family: Bacterial small subunit ribosomal RNA
Source: RNAcentral